UUUUCCUGGUUACAACCGAAGCAUCUCCCAGCCAUCGCAGGAUCCUCUGGGCUGAACGCCGCAUGUGAUGUCCCUAUGAAAGGAGGUGGACACACGAAUUAUUCCUUUCUCGGUCUUAACUGAAGCAUCUCCCAGCCGUAAGCCCAUCACCCAUUAAAGACUACAUACCUGCUGUCGAUUGCUUACUCUGCUGUGCAGAUCGUAGGAUCCCCUGGGACGAAUGCUGCAUGUGAUGUCCCUAUGAAAAGAGAUUGCAGGAUCCUCUGGGCUGGACGCUGCAUGUGAUGUCCCUGUAAAAGGAGGUGGACACGAGAAUUAUUCCUUUUCCCGGUCUCGACCGAAACAUCCACGAGCUCUACUUACCCGGAUAUCCCCCCCUCAUUCCGGGACGGGUGACAGACUAUCCUGGCUCUUGCCGGCCCCGUACAGGCACGAACUGCCGACGACUCCACGCCUCCCCGGCGUCCGAGGUCUGGCUUCGUUCUGGUCGGGAGACACGGAAGGAACACUGAACUUUUUAAAUUGCUUUUUAACCA
Molecule: long non-coding RNA, 536 nt
Organism: Cyprinus carpio carpio
Lineage: Eukaryota; Metazoa; Chordata; Actinopteri; Cypriniformes; Cyprinidae
Source: Ensembl